GACGUAGGGCGCGAGCGUUGUCCGGAUUUAUUGGGCGUAAAGAGCUCGUAGGCGGCUUGUCGCGUCGACUGUGAAAACCCGCGGCUCAACCGCGGGCCUGCAGCCGAUACGGGCAGGCUGGAGUUCGGUAGGGGAGACUGGAAUUCCUGGUGUAGCGGUGAAAUGCGCAGAUAUCAGGAAGAACACCAAUGGCGAAAGCAGCUUUCUGGGACGGUACUGACGCUGAGACGCGAAAGCGUGGGGAGCGAACAGG
This 253-nucleotide ribosomal RNA is filed under the name uncultured bacterium. RNAcentral describes it as "partial 16S ribosomal RNA". It matches the Rfam family "Bacterial small subunit ribosomal RNA", at positions 524 to 776 of the family's 1533-position model. The record is from RNAcentral.